Eleginops maclovinus (Patagonian blennie) is the source of this 557-nucleotide long non-coding RNA. RefSeq lists it as uncharacterized. NCBI's taxonomy places the organism in Eukaryota, Metazoa, Chordata, Actinopteri, Perciformes, Eleginopidae. The transcript is spliced from 4 exons. The record is from RefSeq and is a predicted model, not a curated record.
CACUUAACUUUGUACAGCAAUAUUUCUGUCUUUUAUACAUAACACUUCGUUUUGUUGUGAUCGUGGUUCAAGCUCAUCAGGUUAAACCCAACAGGUUCACCGUCAUAUAAUGCAUCACAGUGCACUCCCUGAUCAGCAGCCCCAGUCAUUACCUGUCAGAAUGAACCAAGUGAAAAACCAAGAGACAUAUCAGCCAGGUGCAACCAUACCUCAUCAUCCUACACCUGUUUACCAGAAGACCAGCUACAACCAGUUCUAUGAGUAUUUCCAAGGAGCUCCCAUCAAUUUCUAUCAUAAGACCACACAGGACUGGCCGUCUGUUGCCAUGACCAGCACACAAAUACCACACCCUCAAUCCAGCACCUACCGAUACUACGCGGAGGCACAGAAUUGUACAAGCAAUUACCAUUUAUCCUCAUUACAAGUUGGAUUUUCUCAAGGAGUUUCAGUCACAUGUCAGCCUCCUGGGAUGGAGAGCCUGCCUUCUGCGGCCAAGAGAAACAGCAAGAAUGGCCCGCCGGAAAAAAGUAAAGAGGAGUUUGAAUACACAUUUUCAG